Long non-coding RNA from Musa acuminata AAA Group (dessert banana), 6484 nucleotides. RefSeq lists it as uncharacterized. The record is from RefSeq and is a predicted model, not a curated record. NCBI's taxonomy places the organism in Eukaryota, Viridiplantae, Streptophyta, Magnoliopsida, Zingiberales, Musaceae. The transcript is spliced from 3 exons.
CACUAACUUAAUUAGAGGCCAAUUGGGCCCUUAAUUGUAAUAUCCCUCGUUUUUAAAAAUUAUUAAUAAAGAUUUAUAUGUAAAUUGGAGGACCUAUAUGUAAAUAUAGAAAUUACAAGGACUAAACUGCUAAGUUGCAAAAAAAAAAAAAAGAAAAAAAAAGGGAAAACCGAAAAUUCGGUAUUAUCCCACCGCCUCCCACGCACUCUGUUUCUUUCCAGAAACAGAGAGAGCGGUGGGGCAUGAGGAUUGAAGAAAAGAAGAAGAAGAGGGAAAAGAAGAGAGGAGGAAGAAGAGAGGAAGAAGAGGGAGAAGAGAAGAAGAAGAAGAAGAAGAGGAGGUGGCUGCAGCGAGGGCUGCAGCGAGGAGCUGUGGGGCGUGGGGAGAAGAAGAGAGGAAGAAGAGGGAGAAGAGAAGAAGAAGAAGAAGAAGAAGAAGAAGAAGAAGAAGAGAGGAGGAUAGCUGCGGCAAGGCUGCAGCGAGGAGGUGUGUGGCUUUGGUGAGGAAAAGGGAAGAGGAGAAGAAGAGAAGGAGAAGAAGAGGGAAAAGAGAGGCAGCUGCAGCAGCCAGGGCUGCAGCACCUCUGUUUCCCGCAGGUGGAAACAGAGGAGAGGAUGUGUGGGGCGUUGAGGAAGAAGAGGGAGAAGAGAAGAAGAAGAAGAAGAAGAAGAAGAAGAAGAAGAAGAUAGCUGCGGCAAGGCUGCAGCGAGGAGAUGUGUGGCCUUGGGGAGGAAAAGGGAAGAGGGGAAGAGGAGAAGAAGAAGAAGAGGAAGAGAAAGAGGUGUGAUACCUCUGUUUCCUGCAGAGGAAACAGAGGAGAGGGUGUGUGUGACGCCGGGGAAGAAGGGGCUGCAGCUGCGGCGAUGGCAGCUGCAGCUGGAAGAGAAGAAGAAGAGGAAGAUGAGCAGGGGAGGAGGGAGAGGUUGCGGCCGUGGCUGCGGCCGCGACUGCAGCAGUUGCAGCGGGGAGAGAAGAAGAAGAAAGGAAGGAGAAGGAAGAGGAGAAGGGGCUGCGGCUGCGGCGAUGGCAGCUGCAGCUGUGGCAGGGAAAGAGAAAAAGGAAAGGAAGAAGAAGAGAAAGGGAAGGAGAGGAAGAAGAGAGGAAGAGGAGAAGGGGCUGCGGCUGCGGCGAUGGCAACUGCAGCUGUGGCAGGGAAAGAGAAAAAGGAAAGGAAGAAGAAGAGAAAGGGAAGGAGAGGAAGAAGAGAGGAAGAGGAGAAGGGGCUGCGGCUGCGGUGAUGGCAGCUGCAGCUGUGGCGGGGAAAGAAGAGAAGGAAAGGAAGAAGAAGAGAAAGGGAAGGAGAGGAAGAAGAGAGGAAGAGGAGAAGGGGUGGCAGCUGCGGCAGUGGCAGCUGCAGUUGGAAGAGAAGUAGGAGAGGAAAUAGAGUAGCAGAGGAAGGAGAGGAAGAAGAGAGGAAGAGGAGAAGGGGCUGCGGCUGCGGCGAUGGCAACUGCAGCUGUGGCAGGGAAAGAGAAAAAGGAAAGGAAGAAGAAGAGAAAGGGAAGGAGAGGAAGAAGAGAGGAAGAGGAGAAGGGGUGGCAGCUGCGGCAGUGGCAGCUGCAGUUGGAAGAGAAGUAGGAGAGGAAAUAGAGUAGCAGAGGAAGAAGAGGCUGCGGUUGUGGUGGCUGCGGCCAUGGCUGCGACUGCGACUGCGGCAGUUGCAGCUGGGAAAGAAAGGAAAGGAAAGGGGGAAAAAGGGGCUGCGGACGGGAUUGCGGUCGCAGCGGCAGCGACUGCGUAUGCAGCAGUUAUGUCUGCGAGAAAAGGGAGGAAGGAAGGUAGUGCGGUGGAAGGGGCUGCGAUUGUGGCAGCGGCAGCGGCCGCGGUUGUGGCAGCUGCAUUUGGGAAAGAAAAAGAAGGAAUGAGAGUAAGAGAAAGCAAGUGACUGUGCCUCGAUGUUCGACACAUGAUGUAGUUGCGAAGAAAGGAAGAAAACGGGAGCACAAAACGAAACAGAGAGAGGACACGGAGAAAAAGUAGAAGGAUUUGGGCUGGCACCUUCUUUGGAUCUUCGGAUCGAAAUCAUUGAAAGGUCAGCUUGACACUCUUCGAGAUGUUUGAUUUGGGCUGAGGCAGUGGAUAGCUAUUCAGAAUAAUGGGCAAGUCUGGUUGGUUAUUACGAUAUUGUUGUAUAAGUAUGUCUUGUAUGUAAUGAAAUGUUGUCGAUGAACCGAAAUGGAUAUACUGUAUCAAAGUGUUAGGAGAUCUCUCUUAUUUGGAAUUUCAGAAUGUUAAGUCAAAUUUAUGGUGAUAUGAACUUGUGGUGAAUAGUUGGAGUUCUGAUUGUAUAAUUUAUUUAGCUUGUGGAUUUAUAAAUGUUGUUCAUGUUUGUCAAGUUGGCUUGGGUUGCCAUAAAUGUGAAUUAUCGAGUGAUGUGAUAUAUGAUUAUAAACUGCACAGGUUCUAUGGAUGUGAAUAUGAAUAGAAUGUUUUCAGUGUCCUCAAACGUUAGUUUGGAUCCUGGAUUGGUCUGUGACGAAAAUUUUAAAAAAUCAUGGAUAUUUUGUGGGGGCGUGACAGAGGUGGUAUCAGAGCAUUGUUUGAGGAUUACUGAAAUAUUUGAUAUGUUGACGUGCAAAAUAUAUUGAGGUCUAAUGAAACUAUAGUGAUUGGUGGAAAUUUUCUUUGAUGUAUUUUAGGAAUCUAGGAUGACGAUGACAUUUAGUCCUCCUACUUCAUCUGAUUUUGAUUAAUUAAGUGGGAUAAAAGGGGUAAUCGGGGAUAUUGAAUCAGAGUGGCGCAGCGGAAGCAUGGUGGACCUAAUUUCAUUGGUGGUAGAAAAAUGAAAGAUGCAAACAGAGAAGAUAUUUGAUGUACAAAAUUGUUUUGAUGAUCAAAAGAUUUCUUUUGCCACCUUAUAUUGGAAGUAGAGGCUGAUUAUUAUUGGCAACAAUGAAAAGAAUUUUUGGAGAUCAGUGACAAGAAUGAUAAGGACAAGUUUACCAAUAAGAAUAUGAUUGGAAAUGAAUCAGAAAGUAAUGACAAGAGGGUCAAGACAUUUGGAUUUGAAAAGGAAAGUCACCACCAAAGACUUAAUCAUGUGUGAAUUACAAGUUAAAUUAUGAAACAAGUUUGUGUUUUCGGGUGAUUGGAGUCUAUUUUGCUUGUAGAAAGUUGGAUCAUAAAAUAAAAGUUUGCCCUUUGAACAAGAAGAAAGAGUCACUGCCUCCUAAAUCAUCAGCCCAUGUAAGAGUGUAUGCUAUCACUAAAUAUGAUUCUGAAACUUCUGAAUUAGUGGUCAAAGAUAUUAUGCAUGUUUAUGAAAGAAUGCAAAUAUUUGUUUGACCAUGGGUCCCAUCUAUGAUUUGAUUCGGAAUAUUCUGCCUAUCACUUGGGUAUUCAACCUAGACCACUACAUCAAGUGCUAUAUGUAAAUACGAUCAUUGGAGAUUCUUUGAUAACGAACUUGAAUCUGGUCCUCUUGUCUGAUUUUUGUUGGAGAACUUGAACUUUUGCUGAUUUAGUUCUCCUAGAGAUUUGGAGUUACGAUAUUAUACUUGGUAUGGAUUGGCCAUCUUCUUAUCAUACCAGUAUGGAUUGAUAUAUAACAAAUGAUCACUUUUUGUAUAUUUGAUCAGUCGAUCUUUUACUUUGAGAGUAUGGGACAUGAUUUAUCUCCUUGCCUAAUGUAUCCAGGAUGACUUGCUUGGAUUACCUCCAAAUGUGACUUUGCUUUUGAUUUGGUCCUUGGGAUAAUCCCAAUAUUUAAGCCUCUCUACAGAAAGAUAUCAUUUGAGUAAGUGGAAUUGGAAAAGCAACUACAAGGAUUGUUAAAUGAGGAUUUUAUUUGGCUUAAUAUUUCAUCAUGGGGUGCUCCGGUGUUAGUUAAAAGAAAUGUAUGGAACAUUGAGGCUUUGUAAUGAUUAUAGACAGUUGAAUUAGGUGACCAUAAAAAAACGAGUAUUUUCUGAAGUAUCGACUUGCUCGAUUAAUUACAGGGUACGCAAGUAUUUUUAGAAAUUGAUUGAAGGUCGGGUUACCGUCUAUUGAGGAUCAAGGAGGAGAAUAUUUCGGUCACUCGUGGAUAAUUAUGUAAUUGUAUUGUAUUGAUGAAACUAUUUAAGAGUAGGAGGAGGAAAUAAAGAUAUCAUAAUCCUCAUCUUUUCACCGAUUGAGCUAUGAUCAAUUUAGAGGACUAAAUUUUCUUUUAAGGGGGGGAGAGUGUAAUAUCCCUCGUUUUUAAAAAUUAUUAAUAAAGAUUUAUAUGUAAAUUGGAGGACCUAUAUGUAAAUAUAGAAAUUACAAGGACUAAACUGCUAAGUUGCAAAAAAAAAAAAAAAGAAAAAAAAAGGGAAAACCGAAAAUUCGGUAUUAUCCCACCGCCUCCCACGCACUCUGUUUCUUUCCAGAAACAGAGAGAGCGGUGGGGCAUGAGGAUUGAAGAAAAGAAGAAGAAGAGGGAAAAGAAGAGAGGAGGAAGAAGAGAGGAAGAAGAGGGAGAAGAGAAGAAGAAGAAGAAGAAGAGGAGGUGGCUGCAGCGAGGGCUGCAGCGAGGAGCUGUGGGGCGUGGGGAGAAGAAGAGAGGAAGAAGAGGGAGAAGAGAAGAAGAAGAAGAAGAAGAAGAAGAAGAAGAAGAAGAAGAAGAAGAAGAAGAAGAAGAGAGGAGGAUAGCUGCGGCAAGGCUGCAGCGAGGAGGUGUGUGGCUUUGGUGAGGAAAAGGGAAGAGGAGAAGAAGAGAAGGAGAAGAAGAGGGAAAAGAGAGGCAGCUGCAGCAGCCAGGGCUGCAGCACCUCUGUUUCCCGCAGGUGGAAACAGAGGAGAGGAUGUGUGGGGCGUUGAGGAAGAAGAGGGAGAAGAGAAGAAGAAGAAGAAGAAGAAGAAGAAGAAGAAGAAGAUAGCUGCGGCAAGGCUGCAGCGAGGAGAUGUGUGGCCUUGGGGAGGAAAAGGGAAGAGGGGAAGAGGAGAAGAAGAAGAAGAGGAAGAGAAAGAGGUGUGAUACCUCUGUUUCCUGCAGAGGAAACAGAGGAGAGGGUGUGUGUGACGCCGGGGAAGAAGGGGCUGCAGCUGCGGCGAUGGCAGCUGCAGCUGGAAGAGAAGAAGAAGAGGAAGAUGAGCAGGGGAGGAGGGAGAGGUUGCGGCCGUGGCUGCGGCCGCGACUGCAGCAGUUGCAGCGGGGAGAGAAGAAGAAGAAAGGAAGGAGAAGGAAGAGGAGAAGGGGCUGCGGCUGCGGCGAUGGCAGCUGCAGCUGUGGCAGGGAAAGAGAAAAAGGAAAGGAAGAAGAAGAGAAAGGGAAGGAGAGGAAGAAGAGAGGAAGAGGAGAAGGGGCUGCGGCUGCGGCGAUGGCAACUGCAGCUGUGGCAGGGAAAGAGAAAAAGGAAAGGAAGAAGAAGAGAAAGGGAAGGAGAGGAAGAAGAGAGGAAGAGGAGAAGGGGCUGCGGCUGCGGUGAUGGCAGCUGCAGCUGUGGCGGGGAAAGAAGAGAAGGAAAGGAAGAAGAAGAGAAAGGGAAGGAGAGGAAGAAGAGAGGAAGAGGAGAAGGGGUGGCAGCUGCGGCAGUGGCAGCUGCAGUUGGAAGAGAAGUAGGAGAGGAAAUAGAGUAGCAGAGGAAGGAGAGGAAGAAGAGAGGAAGAGGAGAAGGGGCUGCGGCUGCGGCGAUGGCAACUGCAGCUGUGGCAGGGAAAGAGAAAAAGGAAAGGAAGAAGAAGAGAAAGGGAAGGAGAGGAAGAAGAGAGGAAGAGGAGAAGGGGUGGCAGCUGCGGCAGUGGCAGCUGCAGUUGGAAGAGAAGUAGGAGAGGAAAUAGAGUAGCAGAGGAAGAAGAGGCUGCGGUUGUGGUGGCUGCGGCCAUGGCUGCGACUGCGACUGCGGCAGUUGCAGCUGGGAAAGAAAGGAAAGGAAAGGGGGAAAAAGGGGCUGCGGACGGGAUUGCGGUCGCAGCGGCAGCGACUGCGUAUGCAGCAGUUAUGUCUGCGAGAAAAGGGAGGAAGGAAGGUAGUGCGGUGGAAGGGGCUGCGAUUGUGGCAGCGGCAGCGGCCGCGGUUGUGGCAGCUGCAUUUGGGAAAGAAAAAGAAGGAAUGAGAGUAAGAGAAAGCAGGUGACUGUGCCUCGAUGUUCGACACAUGAUGUAGUUGCGAAGAAAGGAAGAAAACGGGAGCACAAAACGAAACAGAGAGAGGACACGGAGAAAAAGUAGAAGGAUUUGGGCUGGCACCUUCUUUGGAUCUUCGGAUCGAAAUCAUUGAAAGGUCAGCUUGACACUCUUCGAGAUGUUUGAUUUGGGCUGAGGCAGUGGAUAGCUAUUCAGAAUAAUGGGCAAGUCUGGUUGGUUAUUACGAUAUUGUUGUAUAAGUAUGUCUUGUAUGUAAUGAAAUGUUGUCGAUGAACCGAAAUGGAUAUACUGUAUCAAAGUGUUAGGAGAUCUCUCUUAUUUGGAAUUUCAGAAUGUUAAGUCAAAUUUAUGGUGAUAUGAACUUGUGGUGAAUAGUUGGAGUUCUGAUUGUAUAAUUUAUUUAGCUUGUGGAUUUAUAAAUGUUGUUCAUGUUUGUCAA